Molecule: non-coding RNA, 398 nt
Organism: Misgurnus anguillicaudatus (oriental weatherfish)
Lineage: Eukaryota; Metazoa; Chordata; Actinopteri; Cypriniformes; Cobitidae
Source: RefSeq, a predicted model, not a curated record
GCUUAUGCAAAGAUUACCUGCGAAAAUUUUUACCUUGCGAGCAAUUAUUUGCAAUCGGCUAGUGAUUUAACUUUAUCCACAUCAACAUUGUUGAGGACAUCUUUCAGAAAAAUUUUCCCACCUGUUUUCAUCUACCAGCUAAUCAUGGCACAGUUUGCACUGCAUGCUGAGGUGAAGUGCUUCUUGGAGAGUGGAGUAUACCAUGAGAGCACAUUGAGAUCUGGCAAGCCAAGGAAGAGAAUUGUCAGACGUUCUGCAAAGAAGUUCGAAGUACAUGAUGGACAUCUGUACUACAUUGAGAAGGGCUCAAAACGUUUAGUCAUCAUGGAUGAUAAACAAAAAGAAAAGGUUCUUUUGGAGUGUCAUGACAACCCAGGGACAGGAGGACAUCAAGGAAC